UCUUCCCAUUCCGAACAGAGAAGUUAAGCCCAAUAGCGCCGAUGGUACUGCAGAUUUUGUGGGAGAGUAGGUAGCCGCCGUUC
Molecule: ribosomal RNA, 83 nt
Filed under: Fermentimonas caenicola
Lineage: Bacteria; Pseudomonadati; Bacteroidota; Bacteroidia; Bacteroidales; Dysgonomonadaceae
Source: RNAcentral